This 1322-nucleotide ribosomal RNA is filed under the name uncultured archaeon. Its description in RNAcentral is "bacterial SSU rRNA". It matches the Rfam family "Archaeal small subunit ribosomal RNA", at positions 56 to 1349 of the family's 1478-position model. The record is from RNAcentral.
AUUCUCAGUAACACGUGGCAGCGGGUGCAGAAUCUUCAUGUUCUCCUUGCACACACCGAAUGCUCAGUAACACGUGGAUAACCUACCCUUAGGACUGGGAUAACCUUGGGAAACUGAGGAUAAUACCGGAUGGGCAAUUUUUCCUGUAAUGGUUUUUUGUUUAAAUGUUUUUUUCGCCUAAGGAUGGGUCUGCGGCCGAUUAGGUAGUUGGUUAGGUAAUGGCUUACCAAGCCGUUGAUCGGUACGGGUUGUGAGAGCAAGAGCCCGGAGAUGGAACCUGAGACAAGGUUCCAGGCCCUACGGGGUGCAGCAGGCGCGAAACCUCCGCAAUGUGAGAAAUCGCGACGGGGGGAUCCCAAGUGCCAUUCUUAACGGGAUGGUUUUUCAUUAGUGUAAAGAGCUUUUGGAAUAAGAGCUGGGCAAGACCGGUGCCAGCCGCCGCGGUAACACCGGCAGCUCUAGUGGUAACAAUUUUUAUUGGGCCUAAAGCGUCCGUAGCCGGUUUAAUAAGUCUCUGGUGAAAUCCUGUAGCUUAACUGUGGGAAUUGCUAGAGAUACUAUUAGACUUGAGACCGGGAGAGGUUAGAGGUACUCCCAGGGUAGAGGUGAAAUUCUGUAAUCCUGGGAGGACCGCCUGUUGCGAAGGCGUCUAACUGGAACGGUUCUGACGGUGAGGGACGAGAGUUAGGGGCGCGAACCGGAUUAGAUACCCGGGUAGUCCUAACUGUAAACGAUGCGGACUUGGUGUUGGGGUGGCUUUGAGCUGCUCCAGUGCCGAAGGGAAGCUGUUAAGUCCGCCGCCUGGGAAGUACGGUCGCAAGACUAAAACUUAAAGGAAUUGGCGGGGGAGCACCGCAACGGGAGGAACGUGCGGUUUAAUUGGAUUCAACACCGGAAAACUCACCAGCAGCGACUAUUACAUGAAAGUCAGGCCGAUGACCUUACUAGAUUUUUAGAGAGGUGGUGCAUGGCCGUCGUCAGUUCGUACCGUAAGGCGUUCUCUUAAGUGAGAUAAUGGACGAGACCCUCACCAAUAAUUGCUACUGCGUCGUCCGCGGCGUAGGCACAUUAUUGGGACCGCUGGCGCUAAGUCAGAGGAAGGAGAGGUCAACGGUAGGUCAGUAUGCCCCGAAUCUGCUGGGCUACACGCGGGCUACAAUGGCUGAGACAAUGGGUUCCGACACCGAAAGGUGGAGGUAAUCCUCUAAACUUAGUCGUAGUUCGGAUUGAGGACUGUAACUCGUUCUCAUGAAGCUGGAAUGCGUAGUAAUCGCGUAUCACUAUUGCGCGGUGAAUACGUCCCUGCUCCUUGCACACACCGA